GAUGAACGCUGGCGGCGUGCCUAAUACAUGCAAGUCGAGCGAACAGAUGAGGAGCUUUCUCCUCUGACGUUAGCGGCGGCCGGGUGAGUAACACGUGGAUAACCUACCUAUAAGACUGGGAUAACUUCGGGAAACCGGAGCUAAUACCGGAUAAUAUAUUGAACCGCAUGGUUCAAUAGUGAAAGACAGUUUUGCUGUCCCUUAGAGAUGGGUCCGCGCCGCAUUAGCUAGUUGGUAAGGUAACGGCUUACCAAGGCAACGAUGCGUAGCCGCCCUGAGAGGGUGAUGGGCUGCACUGGAACUGAGACACGGUCCAGACUCCUGCGGGAGGCAGCAGUAGGGAAUCUUCCGCAAUGGGCGGAAGCCUGACGGAGCAACGCCGCGUGAGUGAUGAAGGUCUUCGGAUCGUAAAACUCUGUUAUUAGGGAAGAACAAAUGUGUAAGUAACUAUGCACGUCUUGACGGUACCUAAUCAGAAAGCCACGGCUAACUACGUG
Molecule: ribosomal RNA, 497 nt
Filed under: uncultured bacterium
Lineage: Bacteria
Description: partial 16S ribosomal RNA
Rfam family: Bacterial small subunit ribosomal RNA
Source: RNAcentral